AUGUUCUUCCUGAAGUAGCACCCCAGUAUAUAGAUGUUGCGACUUGUACACCUCGCCUCUCCAAGAUACCUUGAAGGACCUAUCUGAGAGGUAAGACUCAAACCACUGGCGUGCAGUUCC
Sinocyclocheilus rhinocerous is the source of this 120-nucleotide long non-coding RNA. RefSeq lists it as uncharacterized. The record is from RefSeq and is a predicted model, not a curated record. The transcript is spliced from 3 exons. Lineage: Eukaryota; Metazoa; Chordata; Actinopteri; Cypriniformes; Cyprinidae.